RNAcentral lists this ribosomal RNA (253 nucleotides) under uncultured bacterium. Its description in RNAcentral is "partial 16S ribosomal RNA". It matches the Rfam family "Bacterial small subunit ribosomal RNA", at positions 524 to 776 of the family's 1533-position model. The record is from RNAcentral.
UACGUAGGGGGCUAGCGUUGUCCGGAAUCAUUGGGCGUAAAGAGCGUGUGGGCGGCCCGGUAAGUCCGCUGUGAAAGUCGGGGGCUCAACCCUCGAAUGCCGGUGGAUACUGUCGGGCUAGAGUGCGGAAGAGGCGAGUGGAAUUCCUGGUGUAGCGGUGAAAUGCGCAGAUAUCAGGAGGAACACCGAUUGCGAAGGCAGCUCGCUGGGACGUAACUGACGCUGAGACGCGAAAGCGUGGGGAGCAAACAGG